Molecule: ribosomal RNA, 402 nt
Filed under: Amblyomma dubitatum
Lineage: Eukaryota; Metazoa; Arthropoda; Arachnida; Ixodida; Ixodidae
Description: partial 16S ribosomal RNA
Source: RNAcentral
UUUUUUAAAUUGCUGUGGUAUUUUGGCCUAUACAAAGGUAUUGAAAUAAGACUUUAAUUGAGUGCUAAGAGAAUGGAAAUACAGAAAAAUUCUUUCUUAAAUUCAAAAAUUAAAGUUAUUUUUAUUUGUGAAGAAACAGUAAUAUUAAUUAAGGACAAGAAGACCCUAAGAAUUUUCUGAAAAAUCAAUUUUUUAAUUGAAAAUUUUCUUUAAUUGGGGCGAUUAAUAAAAAUUUAAAACUUUAUUUAAAUAACAAAAAAUGAACCAAUAUUAUUGGUCAUAUGAAAAAAAUACUCUAGGGAUAACAGCGUAAUAAUUUUUGAUAGUUCUUAUAGACAAAAUAGUUUGCGACCUCGAUGUUGGAUUAGGAUACUUUUUUAAUGAAGAAGUUAAAAAAAGAAG